Molecule: ribosomal RNA, 253 nt
Filed under: uncultured bacterium
Lineage: Bacteria
Description: partial 16S ribosomal RNA
Rfam family: Bacterial small subunit ribosomal RNA
Source: RNAcentral
UACAGAGGUCCCGAGCGUUGUCCGGAAUUAUUGGGCGUAAAGAGCUUGUAGGCGGUCUGUCGCGUCUGCUGUGAAAAUCCGGGGCUCAACCCCGGACUUGCAGUGGGUACGGGCAGACUAGAGUGUGGUAGGGGAGACUGGAAUUCCUGGUGUAGCGGUGAAAUGCGCAGAUAUCAGGAGGAACACCGAUGGCGAAGGCAGGUCUCUGGGCCACUACUGACGCUGAGAAGCGAAAGCAUGGGGAGCGAACAGG